AUUGAACGCUGGCGGCAUGCUUUACACAUGCAAGUCGAACGGUAACAGGCCUUCGGGUGCUGACGAGUAGCGCACGGGUGAGUAAUGCAUCGGAACGUACCCAGAGGUGGGGGAUAACGCAGCGAAAGCUGUGCUAAUACCGCAUGUGAUCUGAGGAUGAAAGCGGGGGACCGAGCAGCAAUGUUUGGCCUCGCGCCUUUGGAGCGGCCGAUGUCGGAUUAGCUAGUUGGUGGGGUAAAGGCCUACCAAGGCGACGAUCCGUAGCUGGUCUGAGAGGACGACCAGCCACACUGGGACUGAGACACGGCCCAGACUCCUACGGGAGGCAGCAGUGGGGAAUUUUGGACAAUGGGCGCAAGCCUGAUCCAGCAAUGCCGCGUGCGGGAAGAAGGCCUUCGGGUUGUAAACCGCUUUUGGCAGGAACGAAACGGUGUCCGCUAAUACCGGGCGCUAAUGACGGUACCUGCAGAAUAAGCACCGGCUAACUACGUG
RNAcentral lists this ribosomal RNA (492 nucleotides) under uncultured bacterium. RNAcentral's name for it is "partial 16S ribosomal RNA". It matches the Rfam family "Bacterial small subunit ribosomal RNA", at positions 29 to 507 of the family's 1533-position model. The record is from RNAcentral.